AUUGAAGUAGUUUAUUAAAAACGUCGGUUUGUGAUGCCGGAGAUGUGAUUUUACACCUUUGAUA
Molecule: transfer RNA, 64 nt
Filed under: Alpheus randalli
Lineage: Eukaryota; Metazoa; Arthropoda; Malacostraca; Decapoda; Alpheidae
Description: tRNA-His
Rfam family: tRNA
About the family: Transfer RNA (tRNA) molecules are approximately 80 nucleotides in length. Their secondary structure includes four short double-helical elements and three loops (D, anti-codon, and T loops).
Source: RNAcentral